AGGUGCUUCUUUCAGGUUCUUUCAGCAAGGAUUAAGGUCUGAGAGUCCAAGAGUUUAGUCCAUGCUGGAAGAGCAUGAAGAAAGCAGCA
Anolis carolinensis (green anole) is the source of this 89-nucleotide microRNA precursor. Ensembl annotates it as aca-mir-5444a. NCBI's taxonomy places the organism in Eukaryota, Metazoa, Chordata, Lepidosauria, Squamata, Anolidae. The record is from Ensembl.